UUCAGUUUCCAUGCAUGCACAAAAAGUGCGGUUCUUGGGUUCCAUCGAUUAGGGUUUAUACAUAUAAGAGCUUUAAAGGAGGAGGAUGGGAUUUUCUCAACUACCUAGCUGCUGGUGCUAGUAUAUAGGUGGACCACAGACAAAGACAAACCAAGACCAUCACUACUUGCCAUACAUUUGGUAGCUAUGAUAUGAAGCAAGAGUCCUUUAGGUUUAGGGAGGAAGCUCUGCAUUUCCUUUCCCACCAUAUCAUAAAACCAAUGCCCAGUUUUUGGCCAUGAUAUCAGACCAACCACUCUCUGCCUGUCAUAAAUUUCCAACACACAUGGAUGGUGAUGGGUAAAGAUCACGUUGCUGCUAGGGUCCUGCAACAGUGCUUUGAAGUGUGAGAGAAGUUGUUGCAGGGUGAAAACUGCUUUUAUGGCUUUUGAGUUGUUGGGUCAGUCUCAGCAGAUUCUCAGGACCCGGAGCGGAUUAAAUGCAACUAGCUAACUGCAUGUAGCAGACUCCUCCCCCCACCCCCAAAAUAACUCUCUCUCUGGUAUCCAAUUGUGAUGACUGGCUUUACAUAUAUUAAUUUCAAUUUCGAUAAAA
This is a long non-coding RNA of Malus domestica (apple), 594 nucleotides long. RefSeq lists it as uncharacterized. The record is from RefSeq and is a predicted model, not a curated record. NCBI's taxonomy places the organism in Eukaryota, Viridiplantae, Streptophyta, Magnoliopsida, Rosales, Rosaceae.